RNAcentral lists this transfer RNA (73 nucleotides) under Stegodyphus mimosarum. It matches the Rfam family "tRNA". Rfam says of the family: Transfer RNA (tRNA) molecules are approximately 80 nucleotides in length. Their secondary structure includes four short double-helical elements and three loops (D, anti-codon, and T loops). Further hydrogen bonds mediate the characteristic L-shaped molecular structure. tRNAs have two regions of fundamental functional importance: the anti-codon, which is responsible for specific mRNA codon recognition, and the 3' end, to which the tRNAs corresponding amino acid is attached (by aminoacyl-tRNA synthetases). tRNAs cope with the degeneracy of the genetic code in two manners: having more than one tRNA (with a specific anti-codon) for a particular amino acid; and 'wobble' base-pairing, i.e. permitting non-standard base-pairing at the 3rd anti-codon position. The record is from Rfam by way of RNAcentral. Lineage: Eukaryota; Metazoa; Arthropoda; Arachnida; Araneae; Eresidae.
GCCUUCGUGGUGUAGUGGUCAGCAUGCUCGACGCGUAACCGAGAGGUCCGUGGUUCGAUUCCCGGCGAAGACG